Molecule: long non-coding RNA, 1768 nt
Organism: Malus domestica (apple)
Lineage: Eukaryota; Viridiplantae; Streptophyta; Magnoliopsida; Rosales; Rosaceae
Source: RefSeq, a predicted model, not a curated record
AGCGCUCUCUCCUCAUUUUCAUUUCUCUCUCACAACUUCUCUGCCUUUCUUUUUUCAGAAACAAAACCCUAGCCUUCAUCCUUCAUUUCUCAAAAUCUCUCGUAGCUUCUCUCUCUCCAUCGCUUUGUCGCAAUCCAUGGUCUCCUCUCCAUGUCGCUUGCUGCCCACCACCGAAAAUUCAAGAACCCAAGAGAUCCAUUCCAACAAAACUCAAAUCCACACCUAAUCCUCAUCUCGCAGACUCACGAGACCACCGUUUUCCGGCCAAUGUUCUAAGGUUGAAUAUGUUUCAUAUUUUUAUCAUUUUUCUUUAUAAAUUUGGAUUUGAAUUUGCAGGUACUUGCCUCUAAUAGCCAUCCACAUGCACAUCUGUACUCCACCACCUAUAAUUUGGCAAGCCCUGGUAAGGGUUUUUAGGAAGGCAGCGUUAGACAACGCAUAUGAAGCAGAAAAAGGUAAUAGUGGCGGAGACGGCUCGGUGUGUGCUUGGGAAAUGAGGCAAGAUUGUGGAGAAGAUUAGCCAGGAGAGUGGAGCCCACUUUAGGAUUUUUCCCAUAGACCAGAUUCCGCCAUGUGCAUCCCCUACAGAUGAGUUGAUUCAGAUAAAGAAUGCUUCUUUUUUUUUCGGUUCAGUUGCUUUCGUUUACUUGCAUUGGAGAUGAUAGAAAUGUUGGUACUUUGUAAUUGUGUGCUUUUUAGGUAGCUUAUUUCAAAGUUAUUGGUUUAGUAUCUUUAUAUAUGCAGAAAUGAAUUUCUUUGAGUGAUUAGACUCGUCAUGUCUGCAUAAUGACUUGGUGUGAUGUGUAAGUCCCACCGAAGUUCUUCUGAAUACAAUGAUGUAUAUUCGUGCUUAGACCUAAAUGUUAGCGAGUGCUCUUCAUAUCUUAUUACAAAUAUGCAUAAAUGAGGAAGACCACAUUAUGAAUUUUCGCUAAAACUACAGAGACAUGAUUUCCAUUACUAGACGUUUUCAUCCAGGCAAAGAUGGUAGGACUUUAACUCAAAACAUGCCCAAGGGCAAAGAAAAGGGUUAAUAAAUACAAACAGGACAAUGAUUGUUAACAUUACGAGGGAAGCAUGCUUCAUCUACUGUGGGGAUGCAAAUAACAUGUUUUGGUUUUGUUGUGCUAGUGCAUUACUCAUGGCUAUAUUCCUGUUUGUUUGAUAUGCAAAUAACAGAAGACUUUUCAAUUGUGAAGAAAGCACUUUUAUUUGUUUCAGGUUGUCUUUAGGAUAACCCUAAGGUAGAUGUAGCUAACUCUGGUGCUACCAAAAUUUUAGGGGGAUCGAGUCACGGAACUGGUAUACCUGCGCAAGUUGACCCUAUUGCUCAUUGGGGCUUUGGGCCUGGCUUUAAUGCAUCAGAUUAUCACUCAAGGAAUUAUUCUUCUAAUCCUGAGCCUGAAAAUAUUGGAAGCGAUAACAUAAUGGCUAUGUUAUGUCAUGUUGAUAAGGUUGGUAGUCUGAUAGAGAAGGGUGGAAGCUCAGAGUACAACACUGGUGAGUACAUGCACGUCGAUUUGGAUGCUCUUCUCGACAUGUCCACUAAUGAGAUCGUCAAGCUCUUCCCCGCCAAAGCUCACAAAAGAAUAAAGAUAAUAAUUGUGGAUCAAUGUUGGUAGCACUACAUUCAAACUCCUUGACAGUUGGUUAAAGUGGACAUGAAAAACUAGCAUUAUAAGACAUAUCAUAGGAUUGUAACAAGUACUUGCAAAAAUUUUACAUUAAUAUAACACAAUUCGUUCAAUAAAAAUUGGCAUUGAAAAUA